AACCUUCUUUUGAACAACCGGCUCCUGGUUACCAGAUUGUGUUGUGCCAAUGUCAAUGAGUUCAGCAUAGUGUACUGUAAAUGAAGCUAUAUACGGGCAGGUGUGUUUUAUCCCUCUUUUCUACCCCAAUCUACAACAUAAUGGCAUAUCGUUGGAGCUUUCGAAUCCUCAUUCGGUACACCAGGGUACUUAGGACAAACCCCGGGUUUAUGUUUAUAUUAACUGGCAGAGAAAGUUAAUAAGUUAUGAAUGUAACAAUCACCAAUUAUCCUGUUGCGUUGGUAACAAAGUCUAAGUGUGAUUGUUUUGAACCGUUUUGCCAUUUGUAUCAAACGAUUUUGUGCUCAAAAGCUCAAGUUUGGAUUACUUCUCUGUAUCAUGAAGUGUUAACUAUGCUAUAAUUGUUUAUUAUGGUUGAAAAAGAUCGGCCCGUGUCUCAAACUACAGAUCUCAAGCGAUCACAGAGUGUAGAUGUCUUAGAAGGUUCUGCAGAAAGUUUAACCAAUUUCCAAAAGGAAGGACCACAAGAAGUUGUGGUUAAUGAGACGCCUGGAUUAAAUUCUGAAAAUGAAAAAGAUAAGUUUAACACUCUCUGUGAAGGCGUACAAACUGCUCAUUCAACGUUCGACCUCUAUUUAACCGAGUUGCUUACAAUAAAAGACGAAUUACUAAAGCAUUCGUUGCCAUCAAAUCUUUUGAUCAACCUCACAUUAACAUGUUCCAAGCUCUACAGAAGUGCGUCUGAUCUGAGAGCUCCAACGAGUGAACUAAUACGCCUUGUGAGAUUAUAUUCUGCACAAUGGGAAGCAAAGAGCAGUAUAUUCCAGAAAAUUCACGAUGACUAUGAAAGCAAGCAAAGACGUUUAGAUAUUGCCCUAAAGAAGCUUGAACUAGUUGGUGUUGCGUCUGAAAGAGUCGAGAAAGAAAAGAGAAUAAGGAAUUGGGAGAAAGUAUUUUCAAAAGUUAUGAGUGCCAAGAGUCAUGGUCACAGAUGGAAGUUUUUAAUUGGAUCUUUAAAAAAGAAAGCGAAAACGGGAGAAAUUCUUUCCAUACCAUAUCCGUCAAGUUCGGCUACUGAUGGGGUGCAGAAUGAGUCUAAAGAAGAACCAAUUAUUCCACGUCAUCAUCGACGAAAUGUGCGAAGUUUGCGACAUCAAACUUUAUUACGACGCGAGGCACAUUUUGAUGAAAGUAGCAAAACAAAUGAUGACCUGCAUGAGUUGCCGCAAAGCCGGGAAGAAAGUGAAGUUUCAUCGGAAGACGAUGCUCAGACUUUGUUAGGAAUGAAAAGAGUCAAUCGUAAACAUGGAAUGAUGCCAGAUCCGGUUGCAUCAAGAUUUAAAUCCAAGUAUCCAUUUGAAAAGGAAUCAGGUCCACCCGAAUUCUCCAGAAGGUUUAGACCCGCGAGAGUCGAAAGUCCAACUGGCGUACGGAAUCUUACCAAUUCAAGAAACCCAGCCAACCGACGAUUUCUCAAGAAAAAUGUUUCAUUUGUCGACGAGUUACCUGAGGAGAACAAAUCAAAAACAUGUACAAAGGAAGAUAAAAACGUGGGGACUGGAGAGACUGACUAUGAAAGAUUCUUGCACGUGCGAAUAUACAAACCUGAAUGCAAGCUAGUUUCGGAACCGAAAUGCACAAUAUGCCUUGGUGAACAAGUAUUUAACAGCAGAGUUUACAACAACGAUGAGAAUUUAACGACUGCAUCCGAAGAUAACAGAUAUCAGGAAUUCGUAUUCACUUUACCCCCAGAUAACGUGUACGUGCAAGGACAGGGUAUCACAAACAUUGAAUCGCUUCAGCUUAGAAUAGCAGUUCAGGGCGAAGGUGGAGGACAAAUAGUUGCGAUGUCUACUAUGGGAUAUGAUGAGCUUAAAAUUUCGCAAAGCGAUAUUGACUCAGAACAGGAAACACCUAAAAGAUAUCCAAUGUUGUCUCUUGUGUCAGACAAGGAAACAUUGUUCAAUUCCGUUGUCGGUCAUGUUCCAGUUAUUUGUUACCAGACAAAGAAAGAAAGAUUGCGAUCAUUUGAUGCAACAUCACAAACCUUGUCUAUCACAGAAUUAAUUGAUGAAGCAAUGGCGGCCAAAAAAAAAGAGGAGGAAACUCAGGAAAGCAUAAAUGAAAUGGAUGCUGAUGAGGAGAAAAAGAUCUACACCGAAGACGAUUUUGAAGAAAUGAGAAGCAGACACAUUGAAGAGAUACAAGAUUUAAGAGAUGAAUACGAAUUGCAAUUGCAAGAGAUAGCUCGUAUUUCAAUGAGAGGAUCUCCAGAUGGAUUCUCAACUACUUCAGCUGAACCCAAAUUUCUCAACGCUUGUACAUCUCCCAUACCACAAAGUGCAUUAUCCUCUACGAUACAGUGUUCCCGUAAAAGCACUCCACGACCUCGCACAGCUGAUGGCAGGACUACCAAAUCACCGAAGAGCAUGAAGAAAAUCAAAACAGGUCAUGUUUUACCAGAAUGGGGUAAAAAUCUUCCAGAAAAUUUUUUUGAUAGACUAGAACAAUUUUCCAGAGCAAGUGCUAAACAUCAUCAGGAUUUGAGUGAAAAGACAAAGAAAGAGGUUCAGGAAAACUAUGAACUUAAAAUGGCAACACAAAACCGACUAAGUGUUGAAGAAGAUGAAUUGGACUUAAAUGAUGUUUGUCUUCCUGCCUUAUUCAUGCCAUCGAGAAUGGGGACUGUUUAUUCUCCGAAAGCAAGUUUAUAUUUUCAUCCAUCAGGGGUUUCUAGAGGUCGUUUCACUCAAGCUCCGUCGGUAUUUAAACUACCUUCUUCUGUAGAAAGAAAUUCUUCGUCUGUUAUGAAUCUAUUUGAUAUCAGUCAAAAUUUUAUAACCCAUGGACCGACUUGGCUAUCGAAUGGCUCUCGUCCGCAAUCAGCUCGAAUAGCAGGAACAAAAGAAGAGAAAAUAUUAAAAUUGUCUUAAAAACGGCAGUCGAUUUCGACCAGAACUGUCAGAUUGGUCUCAAUGCGAAGUCAAUAUCCGGAGGGUGUUACAAGAAAGUAGACGUUCUCGAUCAGACUCGAUGGUCAUUUGGGAACGGUUCGCCAGAUUUCAUCAAUCGAAGGUAUAAAGAGUCACCAAUGCUAGAAAAACUAGAAAAUCGCGUGUAAGCACUGAUAUAAUGUGAGUAUAUGGGCGCUUUGACGCUUUCCUUUAUACGGAAAAAACGGUUUGAACGGUCCUGUUGUAUUUCGGUAUAGUCAGAUCA
RNAcentral lists this unclassified non-coding RNA (3219 nucleotides) under Dendronephthya gigantea. RNAcentral describes it as "uncharacterized LOC114517064, transcript variant X5". Lineage: Eukaryota; Metazoa; Cnidaria; Anthozoa; Malacalcyonacea; Nephtheidae. The record is from RNAcentral.